GAUGAACGCUGGCGGCGUGCUUAACACAUGCAAGUCGAACGGAAAGGCCGAAGCUUGCUUCGGUACUCGAGUGGCGAACGGGUGAGUAACACGUGGGUGAUCUGCCCUGUACUUCGGGAUAAGCUUGGGAAACUGGGUCUAAUACCGGAUAUGACGAUCUCUUGGAUGGGGUUGUGGAAAGCUUUUGCGGUAUGGGAUGAGCUCGCGGCCUAUCAGCUUGUUGGUGGGGUAAUGGCCUACCAAGGCGUCGACGGGUAGCCGGCCUGAGAGGGUGUACGGCCACAUUGGGACUGAGAUACGGCCCAGACUCCUACGGGAGGCAGCAAUGGGGAAUACUGCACAAUGGGCGCAAGCCUGAUGCAGCGACGCCGCGUGGGGGAUGACGGCCUUCGGGUUGUAAACUCCUUUCGCAAUCGACGAAGCCUUUUGGUGACGGUAGGUUGAGAAGAAGCACCGGCUAACUACGUG
RNAcentral lists this ribosomal RNA (468 nucleotides) under uncultured bacterium. Its description in RNAcentral is "partial 16S ribosomal RNA". It matches the Rfam family "Bacterial small subunit ribosomal RNA", at positions 28 to 507 of the family's 1533-position model. The record is from RNAcentral.